Molecule: long non-coding RNA, 231 nt
Organism: Oxyura jamaicensis (ruddy duck)
Lineage: Eukaryota; Metazoa; Chordata; Aves; Anseriformes; Anatidae
Exons: 3
Source: RefSeq, a predicted model, not a curated record
UUUGCUUUAAUCUCCUCUAACGACAGAGGGACUUUUGGUGUUUUUGGAGUUAGAGAUUUAUCCUUCUUGGAAUCUGGAGUUUUUGUUUUGGAUGCUGGUGUGGACGGCUUAGAGUCUUUUCCAUUUUGCUUUGCUUUCUGCAUAUUUUUUCCUGAAGGCUCACGGACAGGUUUCUUCAUUGGUGUUUUAAUCUCUUCUUCAUCAUCACCCAAGUGACUCUUAUCAUCAUCC